This is a long non-coding RNA of Tachysurus fulvidraco (yellow catfish), 170 nucleotides long. RefSeq lists it as uncharacterized. The record is from RefSeq and is a predicted model, not a curated record. The transcript is spliced from 3 exons. NCBI's taxonomy places the organism in Eukaryota, Metazoa, Chordata, Actinopteri, Siluriformes, Bagridae.
UCGACUGAGCAAAUCGUCCCUCAGCAGAAACUGACGUGGAAGACAAAGGAUGUAGAGAAAUGCACAGUGAGGGGCAAGAACAGCGAUGAGUGCUACAACUACAUCAAAGUGCUGGUGCCUCGUAAUGAUGAAACACUGUUUGCAUGUGGGACCAACGCGUUCACCCCACC